CCGCACGCGCGCUACACUGAU
This 21-nucleotide non-coding RNA is filed under the name Arabidopsis thaliana (thale cress). The record is from RNAcentral. Lineage: Eukaryota; Viridiplantae; Streptophyta; Magnoliopsida; Brassicales; Brassicaceae.